RNAcentral lists this unclassified non-coding RNA (209 nucleotides) under Hevea brasiliensis (rubber tree). Lineage: Eukaryota; Viridiplantae; Streptophyta; Magnoliopsida; Malpighiales; Euphorbiaceae. The record is from RNAcentral.
CUCGGAAGUGCAGCAGCGAUGGAGAGAAGAAGUAUUGGUGGGAUGAGCCAACAAUUUCAGAGCUGAAUUUGCAUCAAAGCCAUCAGCUGCUUUGGGUUCGAGCUAAGCAUAUGGUUUAUGACUAUUGUACGGAUAGCAGUAGGUUCCCAGUUACUCCUGCUGAGUGCGUUCAUCACACCCACCAUUAGUGAUGAUGGAUUUGGUUUGGG